Molecule: ribosomal RNA, 2364 nt
Filed under: Salmonella enterica
Lineage: Bacteria; Pseudomonadati; Pseudomonadota; Gammaproteobacteria; Enterobacterales; Enterobacteriaceae
Description: partial 23S ribosomal RNA
Rfam family: Bacterial large subunit ribosomal RNA
Source: RNAcentral
UGACUGCGUACCUUUUGUAUAAUGGGUCAGCGACUUAUAUUCUGUAGCAAGGUUAACCGAAUAGGGGAGCCGGAGGGAAACCGAGUCUUAAUUGGGCGUUAAGUUGCAGGGUAUAGACCCGAAACCCGGUGAUCUAGCCAUGGGCAGGUUGAAGGUUGGGUAACACUAACUGGAGGACCGAACCGACUAAUGUUGAAAAAUUAGCGGAUGACCUGUGGCUGGGGGUGAAAGGCCAAUCAAACCGGGAGAUAGCUGGUUCUCCCCGAAAGCUAUUUAGGUAGCGCCUCGUGAAUUCAUCUCCGGGGGUAGAGCACUGUUUCGGCUAGGGGGCCAUCCCGGCUUACCAACCCGAUGCAAACUGCGAAUACCGGAGAAUGUUAUCACGGGAGACACACGGCGGGUGCUAACGUCCGUCGUGAAGAGGGAAACAACCCAGACCGCCAGCUAAGGUCCCAAAGUCAUGGUUAAGUGGGAAACGAUGUGGGAAGGCCCAGACAGCCAGGAUGUUGGCUUAGAAGCAGCCAUCAUUUAAAGAAAGCGUAAUAGCUCACUGGUCGAGUCGGCCUGCGCGGAAGAUGUAACGGGGCUAAACCAUGCACCGAAGCUGCGGCAGCGACGCUGAUGCGUUGUUGGGUAGGGGAGCGUUCUGUAAGCCUGCGAAGGUGUGUCGUGAGGCAUGCUGGAGGUAUCAGAAGUGCGAAUGCUGACAUAAGUAACGAUAAAGCGGGUGAAAAGCCCGCUCGCCGGAAGACCAAGGGUUCCUGUCCAACGUUAAUCGGGGCAGGGUGAGUCGACCCCUAAGGCGAGGCCGAAAGGCGUAGUCGAUGGGAAACGGGUUAAUAUUCCCGUACUUGGUGUUACUGCGAAGGGGGGACGGAGAAGGCUAUGUUGGCCGGGCGACGGUUGUCCCGGUUUAAGCGUGUAGGUGUGUGUUCCAGGUAAAUCCGGUUCACUUUAACACUGAGGCGUGAUGACGAGGCACUACGGUGCUGAAGCAACAAAUGCCCUGCUUCCAGGAAAAGCCUCUAAGCAUCAGGUAACAUCAAAUCGUACCCCAAACCGACACAGGUGGUCAGGUAGAGAAUACCAAGGCGCUUGAGAGAACUCGGGUGAAGGAACUAGGCAAAAUGGUGCCGUAACUUCGGGAGAAGGCACGCUGACACGUAGGUGAAGUGAUUUACUCAUGGAGCUGAAGUCAGUCGAAGAUACCAGCUGGCUGCAACUGUUUAUUAAAAACACAGCACUGUGCAAACACGAAAGUGGACGUAUACGGUGUGACGCCUGCCCGGUGCCGGAAGGUUAAUUGAUGGGGUCAGCGCAAGCGAAGCUCCUGAUCGAAGCCCCGGUAAACGGCGGCCGUAACUAUAACGGUCCUAAGGUAGCGAAAUUCCUUGUCGGGUAAGUUCCGACCUGCACGAAUGGCGUAAUGAUGGCCAGGCUGUCUCCACCCGAGACUCAGUGAAAUUGAACUCGCUGUGAAGAUGCAGUGUACCCGCGGCAAGACGGAAAGACCCCGUGAACCUUUACUAUAGCUUGACACUGAACAUUGAGCCUUGAUGUGUAGGAUAGGUGGGAGGCUUUGAAGUGUGGACGCCAGUCUGCAUGGAGCCGGCCUUGAAAUACCACCCUUUAAUGUUUGAUGUUCUAACGUGGACCCGUGAUCCGGGUUGCGGACAGUGUCUGGUGGGUAGUUUGACUGGGGCGGUCUCCUCCUAAAGAGUAACGGAGGAGCACGAAGGUUGGCUAAUCCUGGUCGGACAUCAGGAGGUUAGUGCAAUGGCAUAAGCCAGCUUGACUGCGAGCGUGACGGCGCGAGCAGGUGCGAAAGCAGGUCAUAGUGAUCCGGUGGUUCUGAAUGGAAGGGCCAUCGCUCAACGGAUAAAAGGUACUCCGGGGAUAACAGGCUGAUACCGCCCAAGAGUUCAUAUCGACGGCGGUGUUUGGCACCUCGAUGUCGGCUCAUCACAUCCUGGGGCUGAAGUAGGUCCCAAGGGUAUGGCUGUUCGCCAUUUAAAGUGGUACGCGAGCUGGGUUUAGAACGUCGUGAGACAGUUCGGUCCCUAUCUGCCGUGGGCGCUGGAGAACUGAGGGGGGCUGCUCCUAGUACGAGAGGACCGGAGUGGACGCAUCACUGGUGUUCGGGUUGUCAUGCCAAUGGCACUGCCCGGUAGCUAAAUGCGGAAGAGAUAAGUGCUGAAAGCAUCUAAGCACGAAACUUGCCCCGAGAUGAGUUCUCCCUGAGACUUAGAGUCUCCUGAAGGAACGUUGAAGACGACGACGUUGAUAGGCCGGGUGUGUAAGCGCAGCGAUGCGUUGAGCUAACCGGUACUAAUGAACCGUGAGGCUUAACCUUACAACGCCGAA